This is a long non-coding RNA of Macadamia integrifolia, 619 nucleotides long. RefSeq lists it as uncharacterized. NCBI's taxonomy places the organism in Eukaryota, Viridiplantae, Streptophyta, Magnoliopsida, Proteales, Proteaceae. The record is from RefSeq and is a predicted model, not a curated record. The transcript has 3 exons.
UGUUAUUGAGAUCCUGCUGCUGCUGUAGAAAAGGAUGCAUGCAAGCCAAGAUGUGAGGUGCAAGGGGCUGUCCAAGCUGAAAUCCUGUUGAAAUUUUACUGCAUAUAUUGAGCUGCUGCUGUACCUAUUCGGAGAGAUAUGAGAUGUGUUUUCAGUAUCGUGGGCCCAAAGGUCAGAAGCAUAGUUUUGAUUGUGACUCUGACAGUCUAGGGCACGGUGUGGUCGAGGUGCGUUUUGGGUACCAUGGCCUAGAGGUCAGAGGAUGUGCGAUGUGUGAUGGGCAGUAAUAAUUGUAACAUCGAUAGUCUGAGGCACGGCUUGGCCAACCAUAGACUUAGAGAUGCUGAGGCCACAUUCUCAUGGAAUGCUAUUUUUGGAAGAUGGAAAUUGGUGCUGAGGCGGGACUAGACUUUAGCAGCGGUUGUGAAGCUUAUGUCGACGAGAUGUUGGGAUUUGAUGGGCUUCACUAUUAUUCAGUUCUUCCUUCUUGGUGUAUAAAUAUUUAUGGAUGUGUAGUAAGUAGUAUUGUAACAUGUGGUUGUUUCUAGACAUGAAAUUUUGUAUAAUAUAAUUUAUCACUUUAGUACAUCACUAGUUAUAUUAUAUGAUUUUAAUAGCA